ACUCCUACGGGAGGCAGCAGUGGGGAAUAUUGCACAAUGGGCGCAAGCCUGAUGCAGCCAUGCCGCGUGUGUGAAGAAGGCCUUCGGGUUGUAAAGCACUUUCAGUCGUGAGGAAGGUAGUGUAGUUAAUAGCUGCAUUAUUUGUACGUUAGCGACAGAAGAAGCACCGGCUAACUCCGUGCCAGCAGCCGCGGUAAUACGGAGGGUGCGAGCGUUAAUCGGAAUUACUGGGCGUAAAGCGCAUGCAGGUGGUUUGUUAAGUCAGAUGUGAAAGCCCGGGGCUCAACCUCGGAAUAGCAUUUGAAACUGGCAGACUAGAGUACUGGUAGAGGGGGUUAGAAUUUCAGGUGUAGCGGUGAAAUGCGUAGAGAUCUGAAGGAAUACCGGUGGCGAAGGCGGCCCCUGGACAGAUACUGACACUCAGAUGCGAAAGCGUGGGAGCGAAACAGGAUUAGAUACCCCUGGUAGACUGUCA
RNAcentral lists this ribosomal RNA (475 nucleotides) under uncultured bacterium. RNAcentral describes it as "bacterial SSU rRNA". It matches the Rfam family "Bacterial small subunit ribosomal RNA", at positions 335 to 802 of the family's 1533-position model. The record is from RNAcentral.